RNAcentral lists this transfer RNA (67 nucleotides) under Pedicia sp. ZK-2016. RNAcentral's name for it is "tRNA-Phe". The record is from RNAcentral. Lineage: Eukaryota; Metazoa; Arthropoda; Insecta; Diptera; Pediciidae.
AUUUAAAUAGCUUAUAUCUAGAGCGUGACACUGAAGAUGUUAAAGAGAUUUAUUUAAUCUUUAAAUA